UACGGAGGGUGCAAGCGUUAUCCGGAUUCACUGGGUUUAAAGGGUGCGUAGGUGGGCAGGUAAGUCAGUGGUGAAAUCUCCGGGCUUAACCCGGAAACUGCCAUUGAUACUAUCUGUCUUGAAUACCGUGGAGGUGAGCGGAAUAUGUCAUGUAGCGGUGAAAUGCUUAGAUAUGACAUAGAACACCAAUUGCGAAGGCAGCUCACUACACGAAUAUUGACACUGAGGCACGAAAGCGUGGGGAGCGAUCCGG
Molecule: ribosomal RNA, 253 nt
Filed under: uncultured bacterium
Lineage: Bacteria
Description: partial 16S ribosomal RNA
Rfam family: Bacterial small subunit ribosomal RNA
Source: RNAcentral